Molecule: ribosomal RNA, 492 nt
Filed under: uncultured bacterium
Lineage: Bacteria
Description: partial 16S ribosomal RNA
Rfam family: Bacterial small subunit ribosomal RNA
Source: RNAcentral
AGUGCACGCUGGCGGUAGGCCUAACACAUGCAAGUCGAACGGAAGCACAGUAAGAGCUUGCUCUUACGGGUGGCGAGUGGCGGACGGGUGAGGAAUACAUCGGAAUCUACUUUUUCGUGGGGGAUAACGUAGGGAAACUUACGCUAAUACCGCAUACGACCUACGGGUGAAAGCAGUGGAUCUUCGGACCUUGCGCGAUUGAAUGAGCCGAUGUCGGAUUAGCUAGUUGGCGGGGUAAAGGCCCACCAAGGCGACGAUGCGUAGCUGAUCUGAGAGGAUGAUAGGCCACACUGGAACUGAGAAACGGUCCAGACUCCUACGGGAGGCAGCAGUAGGGAAUCUUCGGCAAUGGGCGAAAGCCUGAUGUAGCCAUGCCGCGUGAGUGAAGAAGGCCUUCUGCUUGUAAAGCUCUUUUGUUGGGAAAGAAAAAAUGCGUAUUUAAAUCUGGCCGUUUUGACGGUACCCAAUAAGAAAGCACCGGCUAACUACGUG